Molecule: ribosomal RNA, 425 nt
Filed under: uncultured bacterium
Lineage: Bacteria
Description: bacterial SSU rRNA
Rfam family: Bacterial small subunit ribosomal RNA
Source: RNAcentral
GUGGGGAAUAUUGCACAAUGGGGGAAACCCUGAUGCAGCGACGCCGCGUGAGCGAAGAAGUAUUUCGGUAUGUAAAGCUCUAUCAGCAGGGAAGAUAAUGACGGUACCUGACUAAGAAGCCCCGGCUAACUACGUGCCAGCAGCCGCGGUAAUACGUAGGGGGCAAGCGUUAUCCGGAUUUACUGGGUGUAAAGGGAGCGUAGACGGCAAGGCAAGUCUGAUGUGAAAACCCAGGGCUUAACCCUGGGACUGCAUUGGAAACUGUCUGGCUCGAGUGCCGGAGAGGUAAGCGGAAUUCCUAGUGUAGCGGUGAAAUGCGUAGAUAUUAGGAAGAACACCAGUGGCGAAGGCGGCUUACUGGACGGUAACUGACGUUGAGGCUCGAAAGCGUGGGGAGCAAACAGGAUUAGAAACCCGUGUAGUCC